RNAcentral lists this transfer RNA (69 nucleotides) under Channa ornatipinnis. RNAcentral's name for it is "tRNA-Met". The record is from RNAcentral. Lineage: Eukaryota; Metazoa; Chordata; Actinopteri; Anabantiformes; Channidae.
AGUAAAGUAAGCUAAUUAAGCUCCUGGGCCCAUACCCCAGCAAUGUGUGUGAAAUCCCCACCCUUACUA